This 497-nucleotide ribosomal RNA is filed under the name uncultured bacterium. RNAcentral describes it as "partial 16S ribosomal RNA". It matches the Rfam family "Bacterial small subunit ribosomal RNA", at positions 28 to 507 of the family's 1533-position model. The record is from RNAcentral.
GACGAACGCUGGCGGCGUGCCUAAUACAUGCAGGUAGAACGCUGAAGAGAGGAGCUUGCUCUUCUUGGAUGAGUUGCGAACGGGUGAGUAGCGCGUAGGUAACCUGCCUUGUAGCGGGGGAUAACUAUUGGAAACGAUAGCUAAUACCGCAUAACAAUGGAUGACACAUGUCAUUUAUUUGAAAGGGGCAAUUGCUCCACUACAAGAUGGACCUGCGUUGUAUUAGCUAGUAGGUGAGGUAAUGGCUCACCUAGGCGACGAUACAUAGCCGACCUGAGAGGGUGAUCGGCCACACUGGGACUGGGACACGGCCCAGACUCCUACGGGAGGCAGCAGUAGGGAAUCUUCGGCAAUGGGGGCAACCCUGACCGAGCAACGCCGCGUGAGUGAAGAAGGUUUUCGGAUCGUAAAGCUCUGUUGUAAGUCAAGAACGGGUGUGAGAGUGGAAAGUUCACACUGUGACGGUAGCUUACCAGAAAGGGACGGCUAACUACGUG